RNAcentral lists this ribosomal RNA (403 nucleotides) under uncultured bacterium. Its description in RNAcentral is "partial 16S ribosomal RNA". It matches the Rfam family "Bacterial small subunit ribosomal RNA", at positions 30 to 526 of the family's 1533-position model. The record is from RNAcentral.
AUUGAACGCUGGCGGCAGGCCUAACACAUGCAAGUCGAGCGAGCGUCGCACGGGUGUGUAAUGUAUGGGGACUGCCCGAUAGAGAGGGAUAACUACUGUACACGGUGUCUAAUAUCGCAUACUGUCGGGUUACCCAUAUGGGAUUAGCUAGUAGGUAGGGUAAUGGCUUACCUAGGCGACGCUCCCUAGCUGGUCUGAGAGGAUGAGCAGCCACACUGGGACUGAGACACGGCCCAGACUCCUACGGAGGCAGCAGUGGGGAAUAUUGCACAAUGGGCGCAAGCCUGAUGCAGCCAUGCCGCGUGUAUGAAGAAGGCCCUAGGGUUGUAAAGUACUUUCAGUCGGGAGGCGUUACCGACAGAAGAAGCACCGGCUAACUCCGUGCCAGCCGCCGCGGUAAUAC